Long non-coding RNA from Hyaena hyaena (striped hyena), 604 nucleotides. RefSeq lists it as uncharacterized. NCBI's taxonomy places the organism in Eukaryota, Metazoa, Chordata, Mammalia, Carnivora, Hyaenidae. The transcript has 2 exons. The record is from RefSeq and is a predicted model, not a curated record.
CUGUGCUUGAACCAUUUGUGCAAGCGGUAAGCUCUAAGCUGAAUACCUUCUUUUCUUCCAGGAGUCUAGAAUUUGGCCCUGCAAAUGGAGGCUGGUAAAGCUCAGAAAAAUGGCCACAACAGCUCUUUUUGAGACAGAAGACGACCAGAGACCUUCAGACUGGAGGCUGGGAACCCCAUCACAUUGCCACUGCCUGCCCUCACUCUAUCCGAGGCGCCUUCAGCCUGGAGUCUAGAAACUUCACGCGGCCAGAAGCAGCAAUUGUCAUGACAAGCGGUGGCUCAUCAAAUUUCAACAGAGCAACUGACAGUCAUUUCAUACGAGGGCAGGAAAGUUAGUUAAUAUCUAGCAGGGAGCGUGUCAUUUGAUGGAGCCAAUCAGUGGUCAGUAAGAUAGUUAUCACAGGUUCAACUGGGCAGCACCAAAUUAGCAGAGUUUCCCCUCUCUUCUUUGUUUCAAUCUUGUAAUCAGCUCUUCCUUCUUUCUCAUAAAAAUUCCUUGCUUUCCCUGCAUGAGUGUGUCACUUGUCUGGUUAUUCCGGAAUCUGUGCUCUCCCCCGAAUUGCAAUUCUGAGACCGCCAAUAAACGCCUGUGUUCCUUUUCA